CCUACGGGCGGCAGCAGUGAGGAAUAUUGGUCAAUGGACGCGAGUCUGAACCAGCCAAGUAGCGUGAAGGAUGACUGCCCUAUGGGUUGUAAACUUCUUUUAUAUGGGAAUAAAAUGUUCCACGUGUGGGAUUUUGUAUGUACUAUAUGAAUAAGGAUCGGCUAACUCCGUGCCAGCAGCCGCGGUAAUACGGAGGAUCCGAGCGUUAUCCGGAUUUAUUGGGUUUAAAGGGAGCGUAGGUGGAUUGUUAAGUCAGUUGUGAAAGUUUGCGGCUCAACCGUAAAAUUGCAGUUGAAACUGGCAGUCUUGAGUACAGUUGAGGUGGGCGGAAUUCGUGGUGUAGCGGUGAAAUGCUUAGAUAUCACGAAGAACUCCGAUUGCGAAGGCAGUUCACUGGACUGCAACUGACACUGAGGCUCGAAAGUGUGGGUAUCAAACAGGAUUAGAUACCCGGGUAGUC
RNAcentral lists this ribosomal RNA (460 nucleotides) under uncultured bacterium. RNAcentral describes it as "partial 16S ribosomal RNA". It matches the Rfam family "Bacterial small subunit ribosomal RNA", at positions 338 to 795 of the family's 1533-position model. The record is from RNAcentral.